This 125-nucleotide small RNA is filed under the name Marmota monax (woodchuck). Lineage: Eukaryota; Metazoa; Chordata; Mammalia; Rodentia; Sciuridae. The record is from RNAcentral.
GCUGGGUGUGGUGGCGCACACCUGUAAUCCCAGCAGCUCAGGAAGCUGAGGCAGGAGGAUCCAGAGUUCAAAGCCAGUCUCUGGAACAGCGAGGUGCUAAGCAACUCAGGGAGACCCUGUCUCUC